RNAcentral lists this long non-coding RNA (820 nucleotides) under Homo sapiens (human). RNAcentral describes it as "HSALNT0321352". Lineage: Eukaryota; Metazoa; Chordata; Mammalia; Primates; Hominidae. The record is from RNAcentral.
UGCGCACGGCCCCGCGCGGCGGCGCGGCCUUUGAAGUCGCGGCGGCUGCCGCUUUCAUCCUUUCUUUUUUCCCUCGCAGGCCCCUUUGUGUGACUAAAUUUGGCAAGAAUAUGGAUCUGAGCCAGUCUUUCCACGUGUGCUCCCAGCUCCCAGCUGAGAAGGCCAAGGGUUCUCUUCCGGAUGCAGCCUUUUUGAAAUUUAUUCUUGGCCAAAAGAGGAAGAUAGUUCAAGGAUUCUAUCUUGCUUUUGGGGGGCAAUGGAGAAACCCUGAAAACACUUAAGGAAAACCUGAGGCCUUCUAUAAGAAAAUAAACUCCCUGAAAGGGGAGGCAGGGCCAAGGAAUUUACUUAUUUUUAUAAAUCUCUUUCCUGGGUGGAUAUGGUAAUGGAUGUGUUUCUUGAAUUGUGGUAAAUGUACCUCAUAAAAUGGAUGGACUGGGGCUAUAUUCUCAGGCUUCCUGGGCUCUGUUGGCAUUGGGCAAGCACGUAAUGCCUGGUUUGAGGCUAGAAGCCAAAGCCACAACCUUCUUGCAGUACCAACUGAGCCAUAGGGAGAUUAAUGCAGAACAAGGUCGUUAGUCUCAUUGUUUAUCCAGUUACUAGCCGCAUAGAUUUUGUGUAAAUUUCAGCUACAGUGGUUGCAGCCUGCCUUUGAUGUGUGUAAUCUGUACAUUUUAGUGCUCCAGGAAAGUACCUGAUUGACAAGAUCUACAUCCAAUGCCCAGAAAACACAUCCUACACAGGCACAGUGAAGCGUGGAGUUGAAGAAUUUUCCAGUGAGUUCCAUCAAAGUAAAUAAACCAACCUAGAGCAUCAGGAU